Long non-coding RNA from Lonchura striata (white-rumped munia), 1679 nucleotides. Lineage: Eukaryota; Metazoa; Chordata; Aves; Passeriformes; Estrildidae. The record is from Ensembl.
UCUGGAACGCUCGCAGGAGCCUCAUUAAAAGAGAUGAGGCCGCCUUUGAUCGCCGCGCUGCUCGCAGGACCUUUCCCAGCCCGGCCGCUUCCCUUUCAUCCCCGCAUUCCCGGGAAACCUGGGGGAUCCCGGCCCCAUCCCCCCGGUGAACCCCUGGAUGCUCAGCAGCCGCCAGGGAGGUGGAGAAGCCGGAGGGAUUUUGGGGAGCUCGGCAAGGACGCACGGAGGCGGUGCUGGAACUCGGGGGGAAAGAUCAAAACCAUCCUGGGGAGAAGAAAGGAAAAGGUUGGGAAGAAAAAGGAGGAGGAGGAGGCCAAGGGCAGCUGCGCCCUCCAGGCAGAGCUCUGACGUGGCUGGGUUGGAUAAAUCAGGGAUAAUUAAUGAUCCCUGCAUCCCACCAGGGUCCCCUGUCCCAUCGUUGUUCCUCCAUCCCACCACGGUCCCCUUGUCCCACCACGGUCCCUCCAUCCUGCUCCACAUCCCUUUAUCCCACCAAGGUCCUCAUUGUCCCAUCAUUGCCCCUCCGGCCCAUCAUGAUCCCCUGUCCCACCAUUGUCCCAUCGUUGUCCCUCUGUUCCACCACACCCCCUUGUCCCACCGCAGUCCCUUGUCCCAUCAUGGUCCCCACAUUCCAUCAUUGUCCUUCCCUCUGUCCCACCAAGGUCCCCUUGUCCCACCAUGGUCCCUUGUUCCAUCACUGUCCCACCGUGGUCCCUCCAUCCCACCCCACAUCCCUGUGUCUCACCAAGGUCUUCUUGUCCCAUCAUUGUCCCAUCAUUGUCCCACCAUUGUCCGUCUGUCCCAUCACUGUCCCUCUGUCCCACCACUGUCCCUUGUUCCAUCACUGUCCCACCGUGGUCCCUCCAUCCCACCAUGUCCCUUUGUCCCACCAUGGUCCCAUCAUUGUCCCAUUGUUGUCCCUCUGUCCCACCAAAUUCCUUUGUCCCAUCACUGUCCCUCCAUCCCACCAUGAUCUCCUGUCCCGUCAUUGUCUCACAAUUGUCCCUCUGUCCCACCAUUGUCCGUCUGUCCCCCCACUGUCCGUCUGUCCCAGCACGGUCCCUCCAUUGCCGCUCCAUUGUCCCCCCACUGUCUGUCUGUCUGUCCCCCACUGUCCGUCUGUCCCACCACGGUUCCCUGUCCUCCCAUUGUCCCCGUGCUGUCUGUCCGUCUGUCCCAUCACUGUCCAUCUGUCCCGCCGUGGUCCCACCAUUGUCCCACCAUGAUCCCCUGUCCUAUCAAUGUCUGUCUGUCCCAUCAUUCUGCCCCCACUGUCUGUCCAUCUGUCCCCCCUCUGUCCAUCCCCCCACUGUCUGUGUGUCCCCUCACUGUCUGUCUGUCCCACCAUUCUGCCCCCACUGUCUGUCCAUCUGUCCCCCUGCUGUCCGUCUGUCCCAGCACAGUCCCUUCAUUGCCCCACCCUUGUCCCCCCACUGUCUGUCCGUCUGUCCCCCCAUUGUCCCCCCUUUGUCCAUCUGUCCCACCCUUGUCCCCCCACUGUCUGUCCAUCUGUCCCUCCUCUGUCCAUCCGUCCGUCUGUCCAUCUGUCCCCCCUCUGUCCGUCUGUCUGUCCCCCCACUGUCUGUCUGUCCCCUCACUGUCCAUCUGUCCCACCCUUGUCCCCCCACUGUCCAUCCGUCCGUCUGUCCCCCCUCUGUCCGUCUGUCCCCCCUCUGUUC